CGUAGGCGGACGGGUGAGUAACGCGUGGGUAACCUGCCUCAUACAGGGGGAUAACGGUUAGAAAUGACUGCUAAUACCGCAUAAGCGCACAGUACCACAUGGUACGGUGUGAAAAACUCCGGUGGUAUGAGAUGGACCCGCGUCUGAUUAGCUAGUUGGUGGGGUAACGGCCCACCAAGGCGACGAUCAGUAGCCGACCUGAGAGGGUGACCGGCCACAUUGGGACUGAGACACGGCCCAG
RNAcentral lists this ribosomal RNA (241 nucleotides) under uncultured bacterium. RNAcentral describes it as "partial 16S ribosomal RNA". It matches the Rfam family "Bacterial small subunit ribosomal RNA", at positions 93 to 334 of the family's 1533-position model. The record is from RNAcentral.